GCGCAGGAGCAAUGUCACAGUCGCAACACCGAGACAGCGCCACCGAUUUAUUCUAAACUGAAUAAUAAUUGUUAUAAACCACAGAUACGGAUGUUCAUCCUUAUUCCAACAACGAUUUGCAUAACAUUUCCAAUCCCUUGUGAGGGUCGUGUAGUGGGGCCCGUGAGUGGCGGAUGAGGCUGGGGUCCAGCUUCAGCGGCGCCCUGCAGCCUCCCAAUGGUCUCCCCCACUAUGAAGGCACUGGUGGACGCUGUGUGGGCGGUGUGGAGCAUCGGUGCCUCCGUCUAUGACUACAUCCACACCAGCGCCAUGGAGGAGCGCAUCCACACGCUGGAGACCGUCAUCACCAUUCACCAGUGUGUCAUCGCAGCGCUGACCGCUGGAGUGGUGGUGCUCUUCACCUACAUACUGUUGAGGAAGCACUGAGGGGGAGUGAGGAAGGAGAAGCCACGCAGGGCCCAGGAGGCUAGUUUUGAGGACAACACAGGAUUACCAGAGUGAUCAGAAGCAUUGAGAGUGUGGGUCUGGAAAGUCAUCCAGAGCCCUGGAGAGGCCUACCGGCCUACAUGGAUUAGAUUGAGGAGGACUUGAUUAAUAAGGGAUUUUGGCUACUAGAAAAGUUUUUGGCUAUUUGGCCUUUAUCUCGGCUGCCAAUUGUACCAUUCUACUGCAGAGGUGUUGCUGGACACUGUGUCUCAGAGUCAAUGGUUUCACUCACUUUGCACACAUGGAAGAUGAAGACAUGGGCAGAGAUGGGCAAAAGAUGCAUGAAAAUAUAUCUUUUUACAAAUACAAAUACUUUAAAGACCAAUGUAUCAAACUAAAAUACAAAAUACUUUUGUGAAGAAUUGUAUUUACUACAACAAUAUUCUUAGUAACAGAAACAAAAAAACAUUUAACUUGCUAUGACUGUAAUAUGUGGUUGUUCAUCUACCUUGGUUGAAUGCACUGACUAAGUCACUGUGGAUAAAUGUCUGCUGAAUGACCUAAAUGUAAAAAUGUAAUAAUUGCAAAGCACACUUGGUAUUAUUAUUGGCCUUAUUUUGUGGGCGGAGCUCAUCAAUAAUACCCAGCAUGCUUUGCAGGAGUACAUUUGUACAUUUACAUGUUGUUCAUUCAGCAGACACUCAUAUCACACCAUAGUGCCGUGACUUCUGAUACCAAUGCAGGGUGAAAGGGGGCCUCCAAAUGUUGAACCGCUAUAAAAUAAAAAAGGAUAUAGAAAAUGUAUUUUGAAAAUAUAAAUGACAGGUCUCAAGUAUGUUACAAACUACAUUGGAUUGUAGUUCAGGCCAGUGAAAUACAAAUGACAAAAUACUCAAAAGCAAAUGAAAUAUGAAUUUCAAUUACAUGUAACAGGAAUACUGCCCAUCUCUGGAUGUGGGGAUGCUAAAACCACAGCGACGACUCAACCUGCAGAUUGUAAUCUAAUAACGCACUAAAGGGAUGAUAACUAUCAUUAGGUUUGACUGCCUUAAUAUGCCUCAAGUGGUUUCACUCCCCAGAUGGAAUAACAUUAUUAGUUAGUUUGGUUUUCAUGUUGGCUCUAAUUGAUUAUCCUGCCUGUAUGAUGCAUUGGAAAACUGGAAACUCCCUCUUCAAAACCAUAAUUGUACUAGGUGCCAGCCCAACAGUCUACAGAUCUAUAAUUGGAAGUCUUGGUCAUGAAGAUGAAAGUGUUCACUUAGAGGUUAACUAUUAUAUCACUCAGUGAGGGAGAGUGGAAUAUCAUGGGACGGGCUGAAUGUAUUCUCAAAAGGCCUUAUUUGUUGUAGAAAACUGGCCUCAAGGUUCUCCUGUGAAUUCCUCUGUAGGAGAAGGAGUUUCUGUGAAGCACUCAAAAGGUCAAUACACUGGUCGCCAUGAAUGCCAUUUAGUACAGUACAUGUUCUUUGAUAAAACUCCUUUAAAGCAUGUUUAUUUGAUAGUCUUGUAAUGCAAGACUUUGUAGUGGCAUUUCAUGGCGUUAGUUGAACAUGGCUAUAGCUGUGAAGGUUACGUCACUUGAAAGAGUAUUUAGAAGCAUCCUUACCUGUAAAAUAUGAAUCAACCUGAAUGUUUUGGUACAUUGUUUAUAAAUGUUUCAGUAAUGAUCACUCUUAACAUUUAAAAGGGUAUAAAACACAUUGUCGGACUUAAUAUAUUUAUGGCAGUUUAAGUGCAAUGUUAUGCUGUAUAGUUAAUUUAAAUUGUUCACUUGCUACAAUAUGACGAAUACACAAUGUUUGCCCUAUCAUCUUGUUCAGAUUGUCAAAAUGGGCCUCAAUGGAAUGUUUCAGGUAAAUCAAAUGUGACUUACAGGUGACAAACUGCCUCCAUGGAAACAAAACAUUUAAUCACCUUCUGGAUCUUUGUGUGAAUGUACAGUGCCUUCAGAAAGUAUUCAGACCCCUUGACUUUUUCCACAUUUUGUUAAGUUACAGCCUUACUCUAAAAUGGAUUAAAUAAAAACAUUUCCUCAGCUAUCUACUCACAAUACCCAAUAAUGACAAAGCAAAAACAAGUUCAUAGAUUUUUUUGCUAAUAAAAAAAAGAUAUGUAAA
Molecule: long non-coding RNA, 2543 nt
Organism: Oncorhynchus masou masou (cherry salmon)
Lineage: Eukaryota; Metazoa; Chordata; Actinopteri; Salmoniformes; Salmonidae
Exons: 2
Source: RefSeq, a predicted model, not a curated record